This is a long non-coding RNA of Carassius auratus (goldfish), 840 nucleotides long. NCBI's taxonomy places the organism in Eukaryota, Metazoa, Chordata, Actinopteri, Cypriniformes, Cyprinidae. The record is from Ensembl.
AUGGAUUCAACAGAAGACGACACAUAUGCUCGGGUUUUGUUGAGGGGAAUUCUGCACACAGUUAUGAAGAUCUCCUGUAACCAGAAGUGCAACAAAUAUACUUCAGAGCAUGAGGCUGAAAAACACCCCGGACUGGAGAGUACUGGAUCUGCCUUACAACACAAACUCAAGAAGAAGCUCCAUGAGAGUGCCUCCCUGUCAUCCCUCCCUUCACCUAAACGGCCAAGGUCAGCCGUGCCAAAGACAUACCCCUCUGGUACGGUCCCAUCCCCAGUGUAUGAUGAUGAGGACAUGACCCCUCGUGGCCUGCUCAUUGGGAUCAUUCAGAUGGAGAACAAAGCAUCGCUGCUGAUGUCUGGUCAGCCUGCACUUCAAGAAUCAGAGCUGAAUCCAGCCGACACCGGUGUGUCCAGCGCUGGAGAGAGAACGUCAGUAAUCCUCUUCAUGUUGUGCUCAUGUGUCUGUGUUUUCCUCAGUGGAGCUCUGUCUGGAGUGGAGCGGUCUGAUCUGACUCUGAACACUGAACUCCUGACGCAUGUAGUCAGAGGACCGAGCCGCAGGAAACCACCACAUGCCUUCAGUGCAUCAGCGUUCGAGAAACUGUUAGAUCAACAGCUAGGUGCUCACCCAUUCUCACCUGUUAUUUGUGUUCGCAAGAUUCUCACCUGUCAUUUGUGUUCGCAAGGUGGAAUAUUGGCACAUAUUUUGUCACAUGUUCAAAAAGCCACUCAGUAUCAUCUAACCCUUUUUCCAUAUUCUCAGACAACACAGAGGAUGACUCGCAUGUCUCUCAUAAAAGUUACAUCUCUGAGAAGAAAGCGGAUGCAUCUCAAGAUUUAG